GACAUAGUGACUGAUAAAGGUGGUAUAUUGUAAAUAUAUUUAUAGGCUUUUGCCUCUGUGUCA
Molecule: transfer RNA, 63 nt
Filed under: Ernobius pini
Lineage: Eukaryota; Metazoa; Arthropoda; Insecta; Coleoptera; Ptinidae
Description: tRNA-Tyr
Source: RNAcentral